Molecule: ribosomal RNA, 490 nt
Filed under: uncultured bacterium
Lineage: Bacteria
Description: partial 16S ribosomal RNA
Rfam family: Bacterial small subunit ribosomal RNA
Source: RNAcentral
GUUGAACGCUGGCGGCAGGCCUAACACAUGCAAGUCGAACGGUAACAGGGAUCAGCUUGCUGAUUCGCUGACGAGUGGCGGACGGGUGAGUAAUGUCUGGGAAACUGCCUGAUGGAGGGGGAUAACUACUGGAAACGGUAGCUAAUACCGCAUAACGUCGCAAGACCAAAGAGGGGGACCUUCGGGCCUCUUGCCAUCGGAUGUGCCCAGAUGGGAUUAGCUAGUAGGUGGGGUAACGGCUCACCUAGGCGACGAUCCCUAGCUGGUCUGAGAGGAUGACCAGCCACACUGGAACUGAGACACGGUCCAGACUCCUACGGGAGGCAGCAGUGGGGAAUAUUGCACAAUGGGCGCAAGCCUGAUGCAGCCAUGCCGCGUGUAUGAAGAAGGCCUUCGGGUUGUAAAGUACUUUCAGCGGGGAGGAAGGGAGUAAAGUUAAUACCUUUGCUCAUUGACGUUACCCGCAGAAGAAGCACCGGCUAACUCCGUG